This 73-nucleotide transfer RNA is filed under the name Paramuricea clavata. It matches the Rfam family "tRNA". From Rfam's summary of the family: Transfer RNA (tRNA) molecules are approximately 80 nucleotides in length. Their secondary structure includes four short double-helical elements and three loops (D, anti-codon, and T loops). Lineage: Eukaryota; Metazoa; Cnidaria; Anthozoa; Malacalcyonacea; Plexauridae. The record is from Rfam by way of RNAcentral.
GACCGCGUAGCUCAGUUGGCAGAGUAUUGGGCUAGUAUUCCAAAGGUCGUGGGUUCGAUUCCCACCGUGGCCG